Long non-coding RNA from Apis dorsata (giant honeybee), 434 nucleotides. RefSeq lists it as uncharacterized. The record is from RefSeq and is a predicted model, not a curated record. The transcript is spliced from 3 exons. Lineage: Eukaryota; Metazoa; Arthropoda; Insecta; Hymenoptera; Apidae.
UUUAUUUUUGGACAUCCUAUAUAAAGAGAAAAAUUUAGUUUGAUUUCCUUAAAUUAUUUAUAUAUUCAUUGUAUAUAAAUAUGUUCGUAAUCACCUUUCUGUAUUAAGAAUACACGCUCGAAGGAUUAAAUCUCUAUAGAUUUUUCUUCAUUGUUUGUGCAGAAAAUUUUAUUUACUUCUGUUCUGUGGAGAUACAGAUUAAUGGAACCGCAGCUAAAAUUUACUUUAGAAUGUAUGUAACCAGGUGUCCUAUAAGCGCAAGCACUGAAACCAAAUUAAUGUAACGAAAUAUCUAAUAUACGUUCCACGGUUGGCUAACUGGCUACCCUAAAAUUGUGUUUUAGAUAUUUGGUCAGAAGCCAAGAAUCACAGCUACACAGACAGAACCGGUAAACGCGCGCUUUUAAUUAAAUAACGCGACCCAGCAACGUGUG